Molecule: RNA transcript, 4529 nt
Organism: Gymnodraco acuticeps
Lineage: Eukaryota; Metazoa; Chordata; Actinopteri; Perciformes; Bathydraconidae
Gene: l3mbtl1b
Gene name: L3MBTL histone methyl-lysine binding protein 1b
Exons: 23
Source: RefSeq, a predicted model, not a curated record
CGUCUUGUGUAGUAACGUUUUUUUAGGUCGUUUUUAGGUUAGAAAAUGUCACUUCGGUUGAUUUUACCGGCCUGAGUGUUUAAUCCUACAGUUAGCAGCGCCGUAUUUAAACUGAUUAUCGCCUGUGCUCGGACUGCAUCUACACAAAUCAGCUGUUUUACGGUAGGGUUUACUGUAACACCAGUUAACGACAGGGAACCGCUCCUCAUCGGUUAUGGAACACACUGCGGUCCCCGCGCUCAUUGAUACACUGUCGUACUUCUUUAGGGAAUUACUUCUUUGGCAGUUGUGAGCAAAACGGGGAUAUAAGCUUCAGUCCAUCGGUAGAAAUCGUUAUAUCGGAACUGAACAGAGUUCUUGGGCGUGUUAUAAGUGUAAACAGGCCUAGUAUUGACCAGCGAUAGUAAACUGAACUUUUCCGAGACCCAAAGUUGUCAGGCAGCGCAUCUUGCACGCAUGCGCAUCCUUCUAUCCAGCAGCUCUAAAUAAGAGUUAAAACAGAAACGAGGUUGGUGAUAUCAGAGGAGUGGGAAUGACCGACACCCCACCCAGUGAUGGCCCCUCCCAGGGAGCUGAGUUUGAUAUGAUGGGUGCCCUGGACUGGAAGGAUGGUAUUGCAACGCUGCCUGGAAGUGACAUCAGGUUCCGCAUGACAGAGUUUGGGACUCUUGAGAUUGUCACAGACCUGGAGGUCAAAGGUCAGAAGCCAGAGCCUAACCGCAAGGCCUUGGACCCAGCACAGUCUCACACGCCCACUCCUCCACCGGAGGGCCAAUCACAGACUGUCACAGCUCCAGCUAAAGCCAAUCAGAGUCAGCCAGGAUCGUCUCAAAGUAAAGCCCCCGGUCCUGUGCUUCUGUCUCUAGAGGAAGGCCCCACUAUGGAGGGCCCCAGUGUGGAGGUUGGUCCCAGUGUGGAGGUUGGCCCUAAUGCAGACACAGGCACAAACGGGGAGCUGUCAAGGUGCCGGGCCUGUGGUGGCCGUGUUCCCCGGGACGCCCUCCUUCAGGGCAAAUUCUGUAGCUCUAUUUGUGCCCAGCCCUCCAGCGGCAGAUCGUCUCCAGCAGAAGCAAGGGAGAGUCAAGCAGUUGAGGGUGAGAGGCUGGGUAAACGUGUGCGCAAAAAGAGGAAAAUCUAUAUGGAUUCUGGUGAUGAAGAGGAAGACAACCAAGAAGAACCAGAGGAAAAGGCCAAGACGACCAAGGGAAGAAGAGGUGCCAAAAUUGCUAAACUGGUGACUGCCCCAGCCAAUAAGAAGCGGGCAUGGAGCUGGCCGGCUUACUUGGAAGAGGAGAGAGCCAUCGCUGCUCCUGUUAAACUAUUCAAAGAGCACCAGACGUUUCCUCAGAGCAGGAACAGUUUUAAGGUGGGGAUGAAGCUGGAGGGGCUGGACCCGUCCCACCCCUCUCUGUUCUGUGUACUAUCUGUUGCAGAGAUCCAAGGCUACAGAGUAAGGCUCCACUUUGAUGGUUACCCAGAAUGCUACGACUUCUGGGCCAAUGCUGACUCGUGGGAUAUGAAACCAGCUGGCUGGUGUGAGAAGAAUGGGCAUAAGUUAUUGUUGCCGAAAGGCUGUAAGGACGGAGACUUUAAUUGGAGCAUGUAUGUGAAGAACUGCAGGGGUCAGCUGGCCCCAAAACACCUUUUCAAAAGCCUCAACACAUCUGUGACUCCAUCUGGAUUCAGAGCAGGGAUGAAGCUGGAGGCGAUCGACAGGAAGAACCCCUCGUUGAUCUGUGUAGCAACCAUUGCUGCUGUUGUGGACAACCGACUGCUCAUUCAUUUUGAUAACUGGGACGACACAUAUGAUUAUUGGUGUGACGCUAGCAGUCCAUAUAUCCAUCCUGUGGGUUACUGUGAAGAGGCUGAGCUAACUCUGACUACCCCAGCUGGUAAGACACAGACCAAGACACACGUGGAAUAUAAACAACCUAAAAGUUUCUCAUGGGAGAAAUACCUGGAAGAGACGGGCACACAGGCUGCUCCUGCUCGGGCUUUCAAACCGCGACCUCCACAUGGCUUCCAGAUUGGGAUGAAAGUGGAAGCUGUGGAUAGGAGGAACCCCAUGCUCAUCCGUGUUACUACCGUAGUGGACACAGAGGACCACCGACUAAAGAUUCAUUUUGAUGGCUGGAGUUCAGAGUAUGACUAUUGGGUGGAGACGGACUGCCCUGAUCUGCACCCUUUAGGAUGGUGCCAGAAAACAGGACACCCACUGCAAUACCCGAACGGCUCCACUGAGUUAGUGACCGCCCCGGGACAAGGAUGUCCUACCCCAGGAUGCAACGGGGUUGGCCACAUUAGAGGACCUCGCUAUGGGACACACUACACUGAGGUGAGCUGUCCCUACUCGGAUGUUAAUCUGAACAAAGAGGGCCUGCUGCCAGAUCGCCUCAGCGGAGAACGACCCGUCGCCCUCAGUGGACCUCACCCACGUGGGCGACGUCCGGACUUUCCCACAAACACUACGACGCAGAGCUCCACAAUGUCAGAACAGCCCGAGGGAGCUGAAGACCCCCAGAACAGGAAACCGGUGACAGUGGAAGCUGAGCGUUUGGGACGCACCGCUCAGCCGGAGCCAGCAGGUGGCACCAGCGAGCCGAGCCACAAUGGAACCAGGCCCAAACGAACUGCUCCCGUUCCCAAAUACUUGAAAAUGCACUACGUUAAAGAGGAGAUCGGCCACGGCAAAGCCUCUCCAGAUGCCAUCUCUCUCCAGCAGGCCCUCCACGAGUCAGUGUUCUCCCCCGGCCUCUCCGCCUCCCCCCCUCACCGGGUGGCUCUCUGCUGGGACAAACACUGCCAGCUGCUGCCUGAGGUCCUCGGGCUGACUGCCAAGCGAGUGGCCACUUGGAGCGCUGAGGAGGUCGCCACAUUUGUCAAAGGUUUACCAGGAUGUAAAGAACAUGCUGCUAUAUUUAAAACAGAGCCAUUUUUCCUCCUGGUCUCUCGCGCCCCCCCCCUCGGCAUGCCUCUGCGCCCCCCAGGGGGGGCGCGCCCCCCACUUUGAGAACCACUGGUCUAACAUAACGGCUCCGCGGAUUGGUCUAUUUGGACCAAUGGGUCCAUUUGGGUCGUCGUUACGUCACUUAGUACCAGGAAGAAAACGAGAAAUCUCCAACGAGGCGUUCUGAGGCAGCAUAGACAGCAAAUAGAUGGCGAGUCCUUCCUGCUGCUCACCCAGGCGGACAUCGUCAAGAUUCUGUCCAUCAAGUUAGGGCCCGCCCUCAAAAUCUACAACUCCAUCCUCAUGUUGAAGAACGCAGACGAAGAGUAGAAACUCCAGAGACUGAAGAGGAGUUGCUCCCUCCUUUCAUCGACACUCAGCUAUGAAGACUUUUGAUCAAAUCAGCUACAACAGCUUUUGUCUGUGGAGCUCUGCGACAGAGCGGAGCAGCAUCACCAGAGACAGAGGCGGAGGUCAUCAUCUCAGAAAAAACGUCCACCUCUCCCCCCUCUCCCCCUCCUCUCUCCAUGAUGGACAGUACUGAUCAACCCGAGGGAGAGGUCACUUUGAUACUUUAAGUUUUCUUGAUCUCUAUCGUGUUUGUUUACUGAAUCAUUUAAAAAAGAACUACAGGCACCUUCAAUGCUUCUUAACAUUGUACAGUUUUUGAAUUGGAUUUAGUGUUUCGUUAAUGAAUGGUGCUCGGGCUAAGAGCAGAUGGAACAAGAGCGUUUGUGCUUUGUUGCAUUUUUACUUAGCAACAGAUCUUUUUUUAAAGGUGCAAAAUACAAUCGUGGAGGGCGAGAGGUUUUUAAAAUGUGAAACCCAGUGGAGCAGAAGCACUAUGUAGUUCAGCUGUUCUCCUCUAGAUGGAGAGCGUGGGCAGCUCCACGGGCCCGCAGGCGAGACGCUUUGAUUAGAUUGGAGCUGAAGCUUGGGUUGAAAGGGGGAUGGUAAAGACUUUGUGUGUGCAGAUGUGAGAGUGUUUGAGAAAUAAGGGUGUAAUUUCCCAUCAGCCCACGUGUUAUGUUCUGGUCAGAGGAUUGUUUUGUGGCAGGCAUGGCUAAGGGCUAAAUGUUCAAUCAAGAAACCUUGCAGUCGUUUAAAGUUGAACGAGACCGCUUUAUCUCGGUCUCCUUUGUUUGUUAAUGGGAACGGCACAUGAAAAUGAAUGUUUAAAAAACAGCUUUUCUGUUGUUUUGUUUAUAUUAUCUUGUUUAUUUUCAUUCACAUUGUAAAUAGUAUACAGCUACAAAUAGACUGUCCUCGCUCCCUAACAGAGUUUACUCCUGCUUGGUUAUGCAAAGGCUUGACAUCUGUCGACGAGGAGAGGACGCUGUGACAGUGAAAACAUACGAGCCUCAAUUCAUACAAAGAUUUUGAGAAAAAAAGAAACAAAACAAACAUUGUCAGUGUCUUUGUGAGUUGGAAUGUGUACAUCAGCAACUGUUUAUAUGCAAACGGCUUUUAUUUAUGUAUUCUAAUUUAAAGGGUAAUGGUACGCUGUUUUUGGCUCCGAGGUAAGCUGUGGCUCUUUGACGGAAAGUGUGUGAAUGGGUGAAAAUAAAUGAGAUGCACACUG